GAUGGGUAGAGCUCAAUGGUAGAGCACAUGCUUAGCAUGCAUGAGGUCCUGGGUUCAAUCCCUAGUACCUUCA
Molecule: non-coding RNA, 73 nt
Organism: Camelus ferus (Wild Bactrian camel)
Lineage: Eukaryota; Metazoa; Chordata; Mammalia; Artiodactyla; Camelidae
Source: Rfam